GACGAACCGUACGAACGUUAUUCGGAAUCACUGGGCGUAAAGGGUGCGUAGGUGGCGCUGUAAGUCGGGUGUGAAAUCCUGAGGCUUAACCUCGGAACUGCAUUCGAUACUGCGGCGCUUGAGGACUGGAGAGGAGACUGGAAUUCAUGGUGUAGCAGUGAAAUGCGUAGAGAUCAUGAGGAAGACCAGUGGCGAAGGCGGGUCUCUGGACAGUUCCUGACACUGAGGCACGAAGGCCAGGGGAGCAAACGGG
This 253-nucleotide ribosomal RNA is filed under the name uncultured bacterium. RNAcentral describes it as "partial 16S ribosomal RNA". It matches the Rfam family "Bacterial small subunit ribosomal RNA", at positions 524 to 776 of the family's 1533-position model. The record is from RNAcentral.